This 322-nucleotide ribosomal RNA is filed under the name uncultured eukaryote. Its description in RNAcentral is "partial 18S ribosomal RNA". It matches the Rfam family "Eukaryotic small subunit ribosomal RNA", at positions 1470 to 1796 of the family's 1831-position model. The record is from RNAcentral.
CCCUUAGAUGUUCUGGGCCGCACGCGUGCUACACUGAGUAAUUCAAUGGGUAAGGGAACGCUAGAGCAUUACCUAAUCUUGAAAUUUGCUCGUGAUGGGGAUCGACGGUUGCAAUUUUCCGUCGUGAACGAGGAAUACCUUGUAGGCGCAUGUCAUCAUCAUGCGCCGAAUACGUCCCUGCCCCUUGUACACACCGCCCGUCGCUCCUACCGAUUGAGUGAUCCGGUGAGGCUCUGGGACCUGGACGGAAAGAGCGUUUCGCUUGUUCUGUUUGGGAAACUUGGUCGAACCUUAUCAUUUAGAGGAAGGAGAAGUCGUAACA